This 70-nucleotide transfer RNA is filed under the name Coloceras sp. SLC-2005. RNAcentral describes it as "tRNA-Trp". Lineage: Eukaryota; Metazoa; Arthropoda; Insecta; Psocodea; Philopteridae. The record is from RNAcentral. RNAcentral also lists the same sequence under 1 other name.
AGGGUAAUAAGAUUAUAAGUUUAAACUUUUGCAGUUCAAUUGCAAGAAAGUCGGAAAAAGACUUAUCCUA